RNAcentral lists this ribosomal RNA (154 nucleotides) under Lentinus tigrinus. RNAcentral describes it as "5.8S ribosomal RNA". It matches the Rfam family "5.8S ribosomal RNA". Rfam says of the family: 5.8S ribosomal RNA (5.8S rRNA) is a component of the large subunit of the eukaryotic ribosome. It is transcribed by RNA polymerase I as part of the 45S precursor that also contains 18S and 28S rRNA. Functionally, it is thought that 5.8S rRNA may be involved in ribosome translocation. Lineage: Eukaryota; Fungi; Basidiomycota; Agaricomycetes; Polyporales; Polyporaceae. The record is from RNAcentral.
AACUUUCAGCAACGGAUCUCUUGGCKCUCGCAUCGAUGAAGAACGCAGCGAAAUGCGAUAAGUAAUGUGAAUUGCAGAAUUCAGUGAAUCAUCGAAUCUUUGAACGCACCUUGCGCUCCUUGGUAUUCCGAGGAGCAUGCCUGUUUGAGUGUCA